CCUACGGGAGGCAGCAGUGAGGAAUAUUGGUCAAUGGACGAGAGUCUGAACCAGCCAAGUAGCGUGAAGGAUGACUGCCCUAUGGGUUGUAAACUUCUUUUAUAUGGGAAUAAAAUGUUCCACGUGUGGGCUUUUGUAUGUACCAUAUGAAUAAGGAUCGGCUAACUCCGUGCCAGCAGCCGCGGUAAUACGGAGGAUCCGAGCGUUAUCCGGAUUUAUUGGGUUUAAAGGGAGCGUAGGUGGAUUGUUAAGUCAGUUGUGAAAGUUUGCGGCUCAUCCGUAAAAUUGCAGUUGAAACUGGCAGUCUUGAGUACAGUAGAGGUGGGCGGAAUUCGUGGUGUAGCGGUGAAAUGCUUAGGUAUCACGAAGAACUCCGAUUGCGAAGGCAGCUCACUGGACUGCAACUGACACUGAGGCUCGAAAGUGUGGGUAUCAAACAGGAUUAGAUACCCUUGUAGUC
This 460-nucleotide ribosomal RNA is filed under the name uncultured bacterium. RNAcentral's name for it is "partial 16S ribosomal RNA". It matches the Rfam family "Bacterial small subunit ribosomal RNA", at positions 338 to 795 of the family's 1533-position model. The record is from RNAcentral.